This 497-nucleotide ribosomal RNA is filed under the name uncultured bacterium. RNAcentral's name for it is "partial 16S ribosomal RNA". It matches the Rfam family "Bacterial small subunit ribosomal RNA", at positions 28 to 507 of the family's 1533-position model. The record is from RNAcentral.
GAUGAACGCUGGCGGCGUGCCUAAUACAUGCAAGUCGAGCGAACAGACGAGGAGCUUGCUCCUCUGACGUUAGCGGCGGACGGGUGAGUAACACGUGGAUAACCUACCUAUAAGACUGGGAUAACUUCGGGAAACCGGAGCUAAUACCGGAUAAUAUAUUGAACCGCAUGGUUCAAUAGUGAAAGACGGUUUUGCUGUCACUUAUAGAUGGAUCCGCGCCGCAUUAGCUAGUUGGUAAGGUAACGGCUUACCAAGGCGACGAUGCGUAGCCGACCUGAGAGGGGGAUCGGCCACACUGGAACUGAGACACGGUCCAGACUCCUACGGGAGGCAGCAGUGGGGAAUCUUGCGCAAUGGGCGAAAGCCUGACGGAGCAACGCCGCGUGAGUGAAGAAGGUCUUCGGAUCGUAAAGCUCUGUUAUUAGGGAAGAAGAAAAGUGUAAGUAGCUAUGCACGUCUUGACGGUACCAAAUCAGAAAGCCACGGCUAACUACGUG